AUUGAACGCUGGCGGCAGGCCUAACACAUGCCAGUCGAGCGGAUGAAGGGAGCUUGCUCCUGGAUUCAGCGGCGGACGGGUGAGUAAUGCCUAGGAAUCUGCCUGGUAGUGGGGGAUAACGUCCGGAAACGGGCGCUAAUACCGCAUACGUCCUGAGGGAGAAAGUGGGGGAUCUUCGGGCCUCACGCUAUCAGAUGAGCCUAGGUCGGAUUAGCUAGUUGGUGGGGUAAAGGCCUACCAAGGCGACGAUCCGUAACUGGUCUGAGAGGAUGAUCAGUCACACUGGAACUGAGGCACGGUCCAGACUCCUACGGGAGGCAGCAGUGGGGAAUAUUGGACAAUGGGCGAAAGCCUGAUCCAGCCAUGCCGCGUGUGUGAAGAAGGUCUUCGGAUUGUAAAGCACUUUAAGUUGGGAGGAAGGGCAGUAAGUUAAUACCUUGCUGUUUUGACGUUACCAACAGAAUAAGCACCGGCUAACUUCGUG
RNAcentral lists this ribosomal RNA (484 nucleotides) under uncultured bacterium. Its description in RNAcentral is "partial 16S ribosomal RNA". It matches the Rfam family "Bacterial small subunit ribosomal RNA", at positions 30 to 507 of the family's 1533-position model. The record is from RNAcentral.